Molecule: ribosomal RNA, 656 nt
Filed under: uncultured archaeon
Lineage: Archaea
Description: bacterial SSU rRNA
Rfam family: Archaeal small subunit ribosomal RNA
Source: RNAcentral
UUCCGGUUGAUCCUGCCGGACCCGANUGCUAUCGGAUUGGGACUAAGCCAUGCGAGUCAACUCGAAAGAGUGGCGCACGGCUCAGUAACACGUAGUCAAUCUACCCUGAGGACGGGGAUAACCCCGGGAAACUGGGGAUAAACCCCGAUAGGUCAUAGCUCCUGGAAUGGGCUAUGGCUCAAAUCUAUAUGGCCUUAGGAAUGGGACUGCGUUCCGAUCAAGUUGUUGGUUGGGGUUAAUGGCCCACCAAGCCUAUAACCGGUACGGGCUCUGAGAGGAGGAGCCCGGAGAUGGGCACUGAGACAAGGGCCCAGGUCCUAUGGGGCGCAGCAGGCGCGAAACCUCCGCAAUGGGCGAAAGCCCGACGGGGUCAGUCCGAGUGGCUCCUGCUAAAGGAGUCUUUUGCCAGCUGUAAACAGGCUGGUGAAUAANGGGUGGGCAAGCCUGGUGUCAGCCGCCGCGGUAAUAACAGCAACCCGAGUGGUCGGAUGAUUAUUGGGCCUAAAGCAUCCGUAGCCCGUGUAGUAAGUCCUCCGUUAAAUCCACCUGCUCAACAGGUUGUGCUGCGGAGGAUACUGCUACACUAAGGAAGCGGGAAAAGGCGAAGGGUAUUCCACGGGUAGGGGUAAAUCCGUCUGAUCCGUGGAGGACCAACA